AAUGAACGUUGGCGGCAUGGAUUAGGCAUGCAAGUCGAGCGAGAAGGGUUUUGAGGCUUGCUUUGAAACCCGGAAAGCGGCGCAAGGGAGAGUAACGAGUAGUUAUCUACCCCAAGGCCCGGAAUAGCUGCGGGAAACUGCAGGUAAUGCCGGAUAAUAUCCCCGGAUCAAAGGUGUGAUUCCGCCUUGGGAGGAGACUGCUUUGUACAAGCUAGUUGGUAGGGUAAUGGCCUACCAAGGCUACGAUGCAUAGCGGGCGUGAGAGCGUGGCCCGUCUCACUGGGACUGAAACACUGCCCAGACACCUACGGGUGGCUGCAGUCGAGAAUCUUCGGCAAUGGGCGAAAGCCUGACCGAGCGAUGCCGCGUGCGGGAUGAAGGCCCUCGGGUUGUAAACCGCUGUCGUAGAGGAGAAAGGUCUGAUGAAGAAUCAGAUUUGAUCUAUUCUAGGAGGAAGUCCGGGCUAAGUUCGUGC
This 475-nucleotide ribosomal RNA is filed under the name uncultured bacterium. RNAcentral's name for it is "partial 16S ribosomal RNA". It matches the Rfam family "Bacterial small subunit ribosomal RNA", at positions 29 to 508 of the family's 1533-position model. The record is from RNAcentral.